CUCUGCUUCCUGUUCAGCGAGCUGAGAAGCCGCUAUCACUCCCUGCACCACCAUCCUCUGUUUCAGCACAGGCCCAGAAUCAACAGAGCCCAGGAAUACCGACAGAAACAUCUGACAACAGAUGCUUACAUAAAUCGUGCCCCGUAAGCCGUUUGUUUAUGUCAGGGAGCAUCAAGUCUGAUUGGUGCAUUAGGCAGUGAGCUUGCAGAGAGCUGUUGGUGCUGGCUGGAGAGGACUGAAGUGAGGAGACUCACCCCAGCAUCGCCCACAGGGAGUGCUUCCUGAGUCUGGAUGCCUGCGUGAGCUUUUGUGCAUCUCACACAUGCAGUAGCCCAUGGGAGCCAGAAGAAGGUGCCAGGUCCCUCGGAACUGGAGUCCUAGGUGAUUGUGAGCCACCACGUGUGCACCGGGAACUGAACCCAGGCCGUCUGCAAGAGCAAUAAACCAUCUUAACCGCGGCGUCAUCUCUCCAGCCCCGACUUUAAGUAAAUUAUUGAUGACCUUCCCAAACAGAAUGUACUAGGUCCAGAUGGGUUGGGUGAAUUCUGGGUGAAUUCUUCCAAGCAGUGAAGGAGGAAAAAUAUAUCAGUUCUCUGUAAUGUCUGUCAGAGGAUGAGCUUAGAAGGAACACUUCUUGAUCCACACUAGGAGCCCAGCAUCACCCUAAGAACAAACGAGGAGAAGGUACUUCAGUAAAUGGAAGCAACAAAAGCCCAUGAACACAGAUCCAGACAGCCUCAACGACAAGCUACUCGCAAGCUGAAUCUAAUGAUGCAUGAAAGGAAAAACAUACCAUAACCAAGUGGGACGGAUGCCAGAUAAGAACGGCCAUCCAACAUUCAAAAAUAAGCUCCUAUAAUCCAGUGUUUGUUAUGAAGGUCUGGGAACACCCCCACCACGCUGUGUAGCAUUCAGAGGAUUCUCCAUCUCUUUAGAACAGCGAUCCUCACCCCACACCUCUUUCAUCUUGAGCACUGCUGGCUCCCAGCCUUCUGCCUUUGGCCUGAGAUUGCUGUGGAGUUGCAACCCAGCUGAUUUCUUCCUGCCUGCUCUCGGGGCCAGACUGACGUGCACGCCGAACACUUCAGUGCUCAAGUCAACUUUGCUGUGUCAAUCUGCCGGAGCCUAGUCCCAGAUGAGGACUCAAGUAGCUCAGGCUGGCCUUGAACUCCCUAUGGAGUUAAGGAUGACCUUGAAUUCCUUCGGCCUUCCUCCACCUACCUCCUAAGUUGCUGGGAUCACAGGCAUGUGCUACUAUACCCAACAAUUAUGAAUAAAAUGUUUUUUUAUUGCUUGUAA
This is a long non-coding RNA of Mus musculus (house mouse), 1299 nucleotides long. RefSeq annotates it as predicted gene, 41505. The record is from RefSeq and is marked validated. The transcript has 5 exons. Lineage: Eukaryota; Metazoa; Chordata; Mammalia; Rodentia; Muridae.